Molecule: unclassified non-coding RNA, 488 nt
Filed under: Glossocardia bidens
Lineage: Eukaryota; Viridiplantae; Streptophyta; Magnoliopsida; Asterales; Asteraceae
Description: partial external transcribed spacer
Source: RNAcentral
UCCACCCGGCUCACCUCUUCAGUUGUUUGCUUUGGCAUGUAUUGCCUUAGUGGAGUUGGUUUCUUGUGUUGCCUACCGAAGCAAUGGUAUUGUCUGGUUGAUUGAUGUUGCUUUCGUCUUGUGCUAUGUUAAUGGCAUCAGAUGAACCAUGAGGCAGCCUUUCUGAUCCAUAGCGUUAGUGCAUGCAUUGAUGUUGUGGCCCAUUGAGCGCUGCUUGGUAUCCUGGAUACGGAACAUCUUGUGGGCAUGGGGUCCCUUAGGGGAUCCUUGUUUUACCCUCGGUUAGCACUCGUGUGUCUCUCAAUAUGGCGGUCUAACGGCUUCCCAGCACGCGUCUAGUGGCACGUACCAGCGGCUGGGCUAUGCUAGAGAUUCACAUGACUCUUAGAAUGACGGCCUAGCCUGCAUUGGCAUGUACCAGCAGGCCGGUCUUGUCAAAGAGGAAUGCUACCUGGUUGAUCCUGCCAGUAGUCAUAUGCUUGUCUCAA